Molecule: long non-coding RNA, 1609 nt
Filed under: Equus caballus (horse)
Lineage: Eukaryota; Metazoa; Chordata; Mammalia; Perissodactyla; Equidae
Description: lncRNA (ENSECAG00000053508.1)
Source: RNAcentral
GGAGAGGACGCUCUGCCCCAGACCCGGACAAUCAGCACUCCCACCCGCCGUGCAAACUAUUGAGACUUCCCGGGCUAACUGUGGUGUGGAUGUCGUGUUCCUUUGAUACAGCGGAAGGUGCCUCUGCUCUUCUGCCUGAGAGUGGUUCAAAAUGUAAGUUCAGCAAACCAAAUAAUCAAAUAUUGAUAAUUCUGGAGCUCUAUGCAGAAUGGUUCUUCCCACUUUCAUUCCUUCUACUCAAGACUCUAGCCUCAUAAAUAAGAGUCUAGAAGGAGAUGAUAUCAUCCCCUUGGGUUGGGGGAGGGGUGCCUCACUUAGACCAACAUUUCUUCACUGCACAGCACUGGAACUUUACAUACGGUCGCCAGCACAGCCAUCGAUUGGCAUUCUUCUCUACCCCUCCCUACCACAUUAUUUUUCUGGUAAUAGGAUAUGAACCUUUGGUGUCUGGGUAAUGCUGAACUGACACUUCCCCAGAUGUCACGUCUUUCUGGGUGGCCCUGCCUAUUCUAAUCUUCUCCUAGCUCCAGCAGAUGGAUUCCAAUACAUAGACACAUGCAGCCUCACAGCAGAGUUCUUUUGUGCCACGAAAUCCUAUGCCCACUCCCGAGCUACCUUUCCUACCACGUACGUUCACUAAAUGCUCCUUUAGCUCAGCUGAUGAAGGUCAUGCUGCUGGGAUCUGGUCCACUUCAGUUAUAAAAUGGAAAGUGUUAGAAUAUGCAGGAGGCCGCUGCUGUUUCACACAAAGAUGAUGGAUGGUGUGGGAUCCCACAGAUUUCCCGGGGAUGGGUCCACCUUCUCCACUUUGUGGCUAUCGAAUGCUUCAAAGUAUGGCUCUUUACGGAGGGAACUGUCUGUUCUCGGAAAGGAACCCAGUGCUGGUUUAGACCCCUCCCUACUUCGUUAGAGAUCUCAACAUAUAUUUUAAGAUAUUUUUGAAAAAUCCUUAGGCAUUUAAUGCAUUUCAUCAGUGGUCAGGCUCUAGAAAGCUGAUUUUUGUUAGGAAAAACGUCUCUCCUACCUUCUCUUGCCCUUUCUUUUCUGCCUUCCUGUUUCUGCCCUCUUGCCCAAAACAUGGAUUUCCAUGUAAUUCAGCUCACUAAAGAUCUCUCCAUUUUUGUUUCACUGCAGAGUUUAUUGCUAGAGCGACUAAUAGACUUUCAGCACAAAUAGUAUAUUGAUCACUUGAAAUCUUGUUUGAGCUUCACUGAAUAUACAUAAUGGGGUGUCAAUCAGGGAAAAAAAUCUCAUAAUAAAUGGCAGGCGACUUAUAUUCAUGAGAAAAUAUGUCUUGGGCAGCACACAAAAUAUCAUGUUUACUGUAGCAUGACAGACUGAUUUCGCUGGUCUCCAUCACAUUCAUCGAGUGGAUAUUUAAUAGCAAAGGCAAGGUUAGAGUAUGAAGAUCCUGGAACCUUUCUUUCUUUGUUUGUAUGGGGGAGCAUUUUUGCACACUCUCUAGAGUAUAAACAUCUUCGAGAACCACAGCCAGCAAGAAAGAUCUUUUCUACCUGAGGAAUUCAGAAAUUGCAAACAAAUCUGUUUAAGUUGGUGUAUAUUUAAAAGCAGCUACUGAUUUAUGCAGUCCAUAUUUUUUAAGUUUUUA